AGUUGCAAAGAUAGUUAUGAGUUGAUGUCAAACAUUUAUGGACAGGGUUGUAUGUUUUAACAAUGACAUCUCCACUAGUUUUAUCCUUACUUGCACACAACAACCAAGGACAAGUCUCUUUACAACAUCUCACUCUAACUCUGCCAGGCUCAUUCACAUAUUUUUCAAUUUGAAUGUGUUCUUGGACUGCAUAUCUUGUCACUGCCACUCUAAAUUCUUCAAUAGUUCCAAAAACCAGUCCUAAUUCCCAAACAAUCUUUUCAGAAGUUGCAUCAAACAUAACUCUAUUUGGGGUUUUCUUCCUCCUAACAGGUUUAUGCACUACUUGAUCAACCUCUUCACCAUCUCCCCAACCUGUUUCAUCAUCUAUUUCAAAGCUAGGAGCUUCAUCACUUAGAUAGUAAGGUUCAUCACCUCCUAGCUUACCAACUAAGCUUUCCCUAAUACCAAUAUUUGUCUCAUCAUACCCUAUAUCUGGACCUUUUUCAUCAACAUUAAUCUGAUAUGAA
This 509-nucleotide long non-coding RNA is filed under the name Solanum tuberosum (potato). Its description in RNAcentral is "long non-coding RNA (STUB_LNC004637)". The record is from RNAcentral. Lineage: Eukaryota; Viridiplantae; Streptophyta; Magnoliopsida; Solanales; Solanaceae.